AGCAAGGAUUAACCCCUGUACCUUUCGCAUAAUGGAUUAACUAGAAACAAUUUCACAAAGAGAACUAAAGCCAAAUCCCCCGAAACCAGACGAGCUACCCAAAAACAGCUAAAAGAGUGCACCCGUCUAUGUGGCAAAAUAGUAGGAAGAUUUAUGGGUAGAGGUGACAAGCCUACCGAGCCUGGUGAUAGCUGGUUAUCCAAGAUAGAAUCUUAGUUCAACCUUAAGUUUACCUACAGAGCCACUUAAUCCCCUUGUAAACUUAAUUGUCAGUCUAAAGAGGGACAGCUCUUUAGACACUAGGAAAAAACCUUAUAUAGAGAAUAAAAACCUCAACUACCAUAGUUGGCCCAAAAGCAGCCAUCAAUUAAGAAAGCGUUCAAGCUCAACAUCAACCACCUAAAAAAUCCCAAACAUAUAACUGAACUCCUCACACUACAUUGGAUUAGUCUAUCACCUUAUAGAAACAAUAAUGUUAGUAUAAGUAACAUGAAUACUUUCUCCACCGCAUAAGCCUAAGUCAGACCGAAAACCUCACCGACACUUAACAGUCCAAUAUCAACAAACACAAACAAGCUGACAUUACUUCCACUGUUAAUCCAACACAGGUAUGCCCCUAAGGAAAGGUUAAAAAAAGUAAAAGGAACUCGGCAAACUUAACCCCCGCCUGUUUACCAAAAACAUCACCUCUAGCAUUACUAGUAUUAGAGGCACCGCCUGCCCAGUGACACACGUUUAACGGCCGCGGUACCCUGACCGUGCAAAGGUAGCAUAAUCACUUGUUCUCUAAUUAGGGACUCGCAUGAAUGGCAUCACGAGGGUUUAACUGUCUCUUACUUUUAACCAGUGAAAUUG
This 855-nucleotide non-coding RNA is filed under the name Chlorocebus sabaeus (green monkey). RNAcentral describes it as "Bacterial large subunit ribosomal RNA". It matches the Rfam family "Bacterial large subunit ribosomal RNA", at positions 569 to 2044 of the family's 2925-position model. Lineage: Eukaryota; Metazoa; Chordata; Mammalia; Primates; Cercopithecidae. The record is from Rfam by way of RNAcentral.